CAGGAUUACAAUAUGUAGAGGACUGAUAGGUAACGUAUACCGGACCUUAGAAUGGCCGGACUAACGUACCAAAGAAUAGUCAGGAAUAGCCGAAGAGACACAACGAUAAGGAAAAGCCAGUGGUCAGGGAUGCCAGAAAACAGGGAAGUCAAAAACAAUGCCAAAGUCAAAUAACCAGAAUAACCAGAAUCAAUAACGAUCUCUC
This is a non-coding RNA of Pelobates cultripes (western spadefoot toad), 205 nucleotides long. NCBI's taxonomy places the organism in Eukaryota, Metazoa, Chordata, Amphibia, Anura, Pelobatidae. The record is from the annotation of a GenBank genome assembly.